GCUUGUCUCAAAGAUUAAGCCAUGCAUGUCUAAGUAUAGUACCUUAUACUGCGAAACUGCGAAUGGCUCAUUAAAUCAGUUAUAAUUCAUUUGAUGGUACUUACUACUCGGAUAACCGUAGUAAUUCUAGAGCUAAUACGUGCGUAAAUCCCGACUUCUGGAAGGGACGUAUUUAUUAGAUAAAAGGCCGACCGGACUUUGUCCGACCCGCGGUGAAUCAUGAUAACUUCACGAAUCGCAUGGCCUUGUGCCGGCGAUGAAUCAUUCAAAUUUCUGCCCUAUCAACUUUCGAUGGUAAGGUAUUGGCUUACCAUGGUUACAACGGGUAACGGGGAAUUAGGGUUCGAUUCCGGAGAGGGGGCCUGAGAAAUGGCCACCACUUCCAAGGAAGGCAGCAGG
Molecule: ribosomal RNA, 399 nt
Filed under: Pseudomuriella aurantiaca
Lineage: Eukaryota; Viridiplantae; Chlorophyta; Chlorophyceae; Sphaeropleales; Pseudomuriellaceae
Description: partial small subunit ribosomal RNA
Rfam family: Eukaryotic small subunit ribosomal RNA
Source: RNAcentral